GAUGAACGCUGGCGGCGUGCCUAAUACAUGCAAGUCGAGCGAACGGACGAGAAGCUUGCUUUUCUGAUGUUAGCGGCGGACGGGUGAGUAACACGUGGAUAACCUACCUAUAAGACUGGGAUAACUUCGGGAAACCGGAGCUAAUACCGGAUAAUAUUUUGAACCGCAUGGUUCAAAAGUGAAAGACGGUCUUGCUGUCACUUAUAGAUGGAUCCGCGCUGCAUUAGCUAGUUGGUAAGGUAACGGCUUACCAAGGCAACGAUGCAUAGCCGACCUGAGAGGAUGAUCGGCCACACUGGAACUGAGACACGGUCCAGACUCCUACGGGAGGCAGCAGUAGGGAAUCUUGCGCAAUGGGCGAAAGCCUGACGGAGCAACGCCGCGUGAGUGAUGAAGGUCUUCGGAUCGUAAAACUCUGUUAUUAGGGAAGAACAUAUGUGUAAGUAACUGUGCACAUCUUGACGGUACCUAAUCAGAAAGCCACGGCUAACUACGUG
This 497-nucleotide ribosomal RNA is filed under the name uncultured bacterium. Its description in RNAcentral is "partial 16S ribosomal RNA". It matches the Rfam family "Bacterial small subunit ribosomal RNA", at positions 28 to 507 of the family's 1533-position model. The record is from RNAcentral.